This is a long non-coding RNA of Nerophis ophidion (straightnose pipefish), 768 nucleotides long. RefSeq lists it as uncharacterized. The transcript is spliced from 3 exons. The record is from RefSeq and is a predicted model, not a curated record. NCBI's taxonomy places the organism in Eukaryota, Metazoa, Chordata, Actinopteri, Syngnathiformes, Syngnathidae.
AAAAAAAAAAAACGACAGCUUCAAGCAGCGUCUGUGUUGCAAAGUCAAGCUUUUAGAGCAGGAGGGACCGGGGCAGGCAAGCGGUGCCUUCACGGCUCGAGCACCCGGCGUUGUGAACGUGCUGCGGGGGAGCCUGCUGUGUGUUCCAUCGCUCGGCCGGUGCGCCUCUCUUCCAUUCCAAUUAAUACAUCCGAGUACUUUGUCCGAGCUCACCGCGGAUUCGUCCCGCCGAACACUUCGCUUUGAAGACGUGAAUUCGGCUAGUGGGCGCGAAACGGGUGGACUCUUUUCCCCGAAAAUGGCUCGCCUUUCCCGGAUACGUUCGGGGGGCACCACCGGUGGCACAACAGGCGAUGGAGCAGCUCACCAGCCUAAUAUGUCAAUGUGGAGAGGCGGAGCCGACGGUCCGACAGACAGGCAGGGCACGCUGGAGAUGGCGGCAAGGAGGUGGGGAUGGCGAGCGAAAGGCGAGGCGGGGCGUGCCGGGGGCGAAGCCACAAACGAAAUCAGGUGUGUGGAUGGCGCACCUGGACACGAUUAACAUAUCUCCUCUCGAUGUAUAAAAGGGGAGAAGGAGUAGAGAAUGGGGUUGGUGAUGGUGCGGGGACAGAACAACAGACAACGACGGAGACGGAGCGCAAGAGUCAGACGGAGGUACAGACUGCUGGAAAGCAGACGGCGGAGCGAGCAGCAGAGGGAGACAGGAGACGCAGCGGAGGAGUGACCCGACCGCCGACAAGCUGGUUUUGAAAAAUAAAAGCGAGUCCA